ACGGAAGGCAGCAGUGGGGAAUAUUGGGCAAUGGGCGCAAGCCUGACCCAGCAAUGCCGCGUGAAGGAAGAAGGCUUUCGGGUUGUAAACUUCUUUUAUAUGGGACGAGGAAAAUGACGGUACCAUAUGAAUAAGCCACGGCUAACUACGUGCCAGCAGCCGCGGUAAUACGUAGGUGGCAAGCGUUAUCCGGAUUUACUGGGUGUAAAGGGUGUGUAGGCGGGACUGCAAGUCAGAUGUGAAAACUAUGGGCUUAACUCAUAGCCUGCAUUUGAAACUGUGGUUCUUGAGGGUCGGAGGGGUUACUGGAAUUCCCGGUGUAGCGGUGAAAUGCGUAGAUACCGGGAGGAACACCGGUGGCGAAGGCGAGUAACUGGACGAUACCUGACGCUGAGACACGAAAGUGUGGGGAGCAAACAGGAUUAGAUACCCUGGUA
This 437-nucleotide ribosomal RNA is filed under the name uncultured Flavonifractor sp. Its description in RNAcentral is "partial 16S ribosomal RNA". It matches the Rfam family "Bacterial small subunit ribosomal RNA", at positions 341 to 792 of the family's 1533-position model. The record is from RNAcentral. Lineage: Bacteria; Bacillati; Bacillota; Clostridia; Eubacteriales; Oscillospiraceae.